GCACUUCUCUCUUCUGCCUCCUAGUGAAAAAGGUGCCUGCUUCUCCUUCUGCCAUGAUUAUAAGUUUCCUGAGGCUUCCCCAGCCAUGCGUAACUGAGUGAGGACCUAGAAUUUUAAUGUCUAAUAUGCGGUGUGAAUUAAAGAAGCGGCCUUGCUAUGCUGACCUUUUCAAUAUUCUAAUCUUUGCUUUGCUGACCUCUCAGGCCUCUUCCUGGCAACAGUUAGGCUUUUGAGAGGAGAGAGAGCUGAGACUGUUGGCUCCUUCCCAUUUAUGAGAGAGCCACAUGACAUCAGCCCAUAGACUGUGGAGAGUAUUCCAGAUCUAUCACAUUCUGCGAUUCUGCGAUUCCCAGAAGGCUGGUCAUGAAAAAAUUCCCUCUUCAGUUUACAUAUAUGGCAGUGGCACUUCUAGAUAUCUGUUGAGGCCUGGAAGGGGCAAAACAAUUCAGGAAGCAGUUGAAGAUAAAGGGGUUUACCAUGGAAGAGAAGAUCCAGGUGCCUUCAUGGAAAUGCUUGUGGUUGAAAAGAGAUGAAGAUGAGGGUCCCUGGAAAGAGGAAGAACCAGCCAGGAAAAUUAUACCAUUAGCAAGACUGGCAUCAGCAAGUAGUUCGCAGUGUUGGUUGUUCUUGGUUUCGCAGGAUUUUAUAGGAGUUCUGAACACUGGGAAGUCCAAGAGCAAGGCAACAACAGAUUCAACAUCUGAGGCUCUGAUCUUUUUCAUUAAAGAAAAAUCACUCUCACAGGGUUCUGCUGAGGGUGUGUGAUUACAGAUGUUGCCAAGGAGCACUCCGGGAACCUCUAAUGGGGAGGACACAAGACAAAGCAAAUGGACAGUCAUUUUUCCAAGAGAUGGGCCCCCUGCCAUGAGGAAGUUCUUCAGGCUGCGUCUCCUUUUUGUGUUUUUAUUUGAUCUUUAAUAAAGAAUAUUAAGACUGAAAAAAAAAAAAAAA
RNAcentral lists this long non-coding RNA (951 nucleotides) under Homo sapiens (human). RNAcentral describes it as "long independently transcribed non-coding RNA 907, transcript variant 2 (LINC00907)". The record is from RNAcentral. Lineage: Eukaryota; Metazoa; Chordata; Mammalia; Primates; Hominidae.